RNAcentral lists this ribosomal RNA (882 nucleotides) under uncultured bacterium. Its description in RNAcentral is "bacterial SSU rRNA". It matches the Rfam family "Bacterial small subunit ribosomal RNA", at positions 1 to 916 of the family's 1533-position model. The record is from RNAcentral.
AGGAGUUUGAUCCUGGCUCAGGAUGAACGCUGACAGAAUGCUUAACACAUGCAAGUCGACUCGAGUCUUCGGACUUGGGUGGCGCACGGGUGAGUAACGCGUAAAGAACUUGCCUCUUAGACCGGGACAACAUCUGGAAACGGAUGCUAAUACCGGAUAUUAUGGUUUUUUCGCAUGGAGGAAUCAUGAAAGCUAGAUGCGCUAAGAGAGAGCUUUGCGUCCCAUUAGCUGGUUGGUGAGGUAACGGCCCACCAAGGCAAUGAUGGGUAGCCGGCCUGAGAGGGUGAACGGCCACAAGGGGACUGAGACACGGCCCUUACUCCUACGGGAGGCAGCAGUGGGGAAUAUUGGACAAUGGACCACAAGUCUGAUCCAGCAAUUCUGUGUGCACGAUGACGUUUUUCGGAAUGUAAAGUGCUUUCAGUCGGGAAGAAGUCAGUGACGGUACCGACAGAAGAAGCGACGGCUAAAUACGUGCCAGCAGCCGCGGUAAUACGUAUGUCGCAAGCGUUAUCCGGAUUUAUUGGGCGUAAAGCGCGUCUAGGCGGCAAGGAAAGUCUGAUGUGAAAAUGCGGAGCUCAACUCCGUAUGGCGUUGGAAACUGCCUUACUAGAGUACUGGAGAGGUAGGCGGAACUACAAGUGUAGAGGUGAAAUUCGUAGAUAUUUGUAGGAAUGCCGAUGGGGAAGCCAGCCUACUGGACAGAUACUGACGCUAAAGCGCGAAAGCGUGGGUAGCAAACAGGAUUAGAUACCCUGGUAGUCCACGCUGUAAACGAUGAUUACUAGGUGUUGGGGGUCAAACCUCAGCGCCCAAGCUAACGCGAUAAGUAAUCCGCCUGGGGAGUACGUACGCAAGUAUGAAACUCAAAGGAAUUGACGG